This 479-nucleotide ribosomal RNA is filed under the name uncultured bacterium. Its description in RNAcentral is "partial 16S ribosomal RNA". It matches the Rfam family "Bacterial small subunit ribosomal RNA", at positions 28 to 507 of the family's 1533-position model. The record is from RNAcentral.
GAUGAACGCUAGCGGGAGGCCUAACACAUGCAAGCCGAGCGGUAUUUGUUCUUCGGAACAGAGAGAGCGGCGCACGGGUGCGGAACACGUGUGCAACCUGCCUUUAUCUGGGGGAUAGCCUUUCGAAAGGAAGAUUAAUACCCCAUAAUAUAUUGAGUGGCAUCACUUGAUAUUGAAAACUCCGGUGGAUAGAGAUGGGCACGCGCAAGAUUAGAUAGUUGGUGAGGUAACGGCUCACCAAGUCAAUGAUCUUUAGGGGGCCUGAGAGGGUGAUCCCCCACACUGGUACUGAGACACGGACCAGACUCCUACGGGAGGCAGCAGUGAGGAAUAUUGGACAAUGGGUUAGCGCCUGAUCCAGCCAUCCCGCGUGAAGGACGACGGCCCUAUGGGUUGUAAACUUCUUUUGUAUAGGGAUAAACCUACUCUCGUGAGAGUAGCUGAAGGUACUAUACGAAUAAGCACCGGCUAACUCCGUG